AACCGUUCAGGGUAAACCUGAGAAACCCGAAAAGUCGAAAGGGGAAAUUUCAUUCGCGUUUCGAUCGUUGAAGUGAAACGUGUUUGUAUGACGGAUGAUGCGUCGUUUUGCGGCGUAUGUGUCCGCGUCUCAUGUUUUUCGAAUCGACGUCGAACGUGUGCACUUUUCCUCUAGUAGGACGUCGUGAUCCGUUGGGUGUCUGUCUAAGACUCGAGGUGGAGACCACGUAAUUAUUAUGUGGACCCUCGAUGUUCCGAUAGACUCUCUCGACGGUAUAAAUAUGGCGCGGGGCCGCUAUCAAUAAUUAGUUAGCGUUCGGCCCGUAGCAAGCACGUUUCGUGUUUGACGGUGAUCGGACCUAGUGCCGAUUCUGUCCCGAAACGACUGUUGGUUACGGUGUUUUUAUCUCGAACAGACCUCGUUUUGAAACGCCAAUCGACGACGCUAUAGAUUUGGGUACUUUCAGGACCCGUCUUGAA
RNAcentral lists this ribosomal RNA (479 nucleotides) under Dircema nr. cyanipenne JJG118. Its description in RNAcentral is "eukaryotic LSU rRNA". Lineage: Eukaryota; Metazoa; Arthropoda; Insecta; Coleoptera; Chrysomelidae. The record is from RNAcentral.